RNAcentral lists this unclassified non-coding RNA (429 nucleotides) under soil metagenome. RNAcentral's name for it is "partial contains 5.8S ribosomal RNA, internal transcribed spacer 2, and large subunit ribosomal RNA". The stretch from base 1 to 120 matches the Rfam family "5.8S ribosomal RNA", at positions 35 to 154 of the family's 154-position model. The record is from RNAcentral.
GAUGAAGAACGUAGCGAAAUGCGAUACGUAAUGUGAAUUGCAGAAUUCAGUGAAUCAUCGAAUCUUUGAACGCAUAUUGCGCUCUCUGGUAUUCCGGAGAGCAUGCUUGUUUGAGUAUCAGUAAACACCUCAACUCCCUUUUCUUUUUUGAAAUUGGAGCUGGACUUGAGUGAUCCCAACGCUUUCUUCCAAGAAAGUGGCGGGUUGCUUGAAAUGCAGGUGCAGCUGAACUUUUCUCUGAGCUAUAAGCAUAUCUAUUUAGUCUGCCUAAAAAACAGAUUAUUACCUUUGCUGCAGCUAACAUAAAGGAGAUUAGUUCUUGUGCUGACUGAUGCAGGAUUCACAAAGACGGCUUCGGCCGACUUUGUAAACUCGAUCUCAAAUCAAGUAAGACUACCCGCUGAACUUAAGCAUAUCAAUAGCGGAGGA